CCUACGGCGAGCAGCAGUGGGGAAUAUUGGACAAUGGGCGAAAGCCUGAUCCAGCCAUGCCGCGUGUGUGAAGAAGGCCUUCGGGUUGUAAAGCACUUUCAGUGGGGAAGAAAGCCUUGGGGCUAAUACCCUCGAGGAAGGACAUCACCCACAGAAGAAGCACCGGCUAACUCCGUGCCAGCAGCCGCGGUAAUACGGAGGGUGCGAGCGUUAAUCGGAAUUACUGGGCGUAAAGCGCGCGUAGGCGGUCUGAUAAGCCGGUUGUGAAAGCCCCGGGCUCAACCUGGGAACGGCAUCCGGAACUGUCAGGCUAGAGUGCAGGAGAGGAAGGUAGAAUUCCCGGUGUAGCGGUGAAAUGCGUAGAGAUCGGGAGGAAUACCAGUGGCGAAGGCGGCCUUCUGGACUGACACUGACGCUGAGGUGCGAAAGCGUGGGUAGCAAACAGGAUUAGAUACCCUUGUAGUC
Molecule: ribosomal RNA, 465 nt
Filed under: Vreelandella stevensii
Lineage: Bacteria; Pseudomonadati; Pseudomonadota; Gammaproteobacteria; Oceanospirillales; Halomonadaceae
Description: partial 16S ribosomal RNA
Rfam family: Bacterial small subunit ribosomal RNA
Source: RNAcentral